This 465-nucleotide ribosomal RNA is filed under the name uncultured bacterium. Its description in RNAcentral is "partial 16S ribosomal RNA". It matches the Rfam family "Bacterial small subunit ribosomal RNA", at positions 338 to 795 of the family's 1533-position model. The record is from RNAcentral.
UCUACGGGUGGCAGCAGUAGGGAAUUUUCGUCAAUGGGCGCAAGCCUGAACGAGCGAUGCCGCGUGAGUGAAGAAGGCCUUCGGGUCGUAAAGCUCUGUUGCGGGGGAAAAAAGGCAGCAUCAGGAAAUGGGUGCUGACUGAUGGUGCCCCGCCAGAAAGUCACGGCUAACUACGUGCCAGCAGCCGCGGUAAUACGUAGGUGGCGAGCGUUAUCCGGAAUGAUUGGGCGUAAAGGGUGCGCAGGCGGUCCUGCAAGUCUGGAGUGAAACGCAUGUGCUCAACUCAUGCAUGGCUUUGGAAACUGGAGGACUGGAGAGCAGGAGAGGGCGGUGGAACUCCAUGUGUAGCGGUAAAAUGCUUAGAGAUCAUACAGAACACCGAUUGCGAAGGCAGCUUACCAAACUAUAUCUGACGUUGAGGCACGAAAGCGUGGGUAGCAAACAGGAUUAGAUACCCGAGUAGUC